UUUGAGUGUUAAUAAAGUAAAAUAUCCGCUGGUGGCUGAUGAACUCACAAGUGUAGGUAGUGUACUACACGGGGCGCAAGUUUUCGCAGACACCACGACGGUCUCUGGCCCAAUGAGUGGAGUUUGAUAGUAACCCUUGCAACAAGU
This is a small nucleolar RNA of Pteronotus mesoamericanus, 147 nucleotides long. The record is from RefSeq and is a predicted model, not a curated record. Lineage: Eukaryota; Metazoa; Chordata; Mammalia; Chiroptera; Mormoopidae.